CAGGGACAGGACUGAGGGUCUGCACCUGGUGAUGGUGGCCUUCUUGCUGGUAGAGUCCUGAGGCAGCCAUGAGAGUUUCGCAGAGAAUAGAAUGCUCAAACCAGCUAACCAACCAGAUACCUGUUCUUCAAGCAUCCUUUCUACAUCCAUGCCUCCUUAUGGUCUCUAACCCUAAUAAUCAUAGCUUGAAAUAGACUCAGUCUCAAAAAGGCCCCCAAUGAGAAGACCAUCUUCAACAAGACACCAGAACUGUCACAAGCGUUCUCUCUAGCCUUCUUACUGAGGAGAGAAUUUCUUGAGGACAAGUACAUAAGAGUAACAGAUACCAGAGAGAAGAGUAUUACAUUUAAGUCUGCAUAGAGACAGCCUCUUGUGUUGUCCUGCACACAUUUCCCAGAAUCUUCAAAGAUGAUCAUAGCAACUUGUUCAUUGAGCAAAAAAUCAUACUGAGAAAGCCUCUUAGGUUUAUAUUUAUUAGUCCAUCUAAAGUUGCAAAUGAAGUGGAUGCCCAUUUGAAAGUUAAUGAACAUUUCGGGAGAUCCUAUGCUAGAACCAAGCUCCAUCAGGACUAGCUGAGAACACACGACCAGGAAGCUAACCAGAGAACAAAGUACUCAUAGCAGUGUUCUUAAUGUCAGCAAUAUUGGUUGAGCUAAAUAACUUAGGAAACUUUCUAAGAACUCAAUUAUGAUUUUAAAAAGAUGGAAACAUGAAUUAUUUGUAAGCUGCAAUCAACAAUGACAAUAGAGCAAACAAUGGCCCAACAAACAAAGCUGUUGACUUCAAUACCAGCAUGGGGCCUAAGAGGUGUUCUCUCAGGGACAGAAUCACAAGAAUGAGGAGGAGUUUAAGCAAGAAACUUGAAUGCUUUCAUUUAAAUGAAAGCUGGCAUGUCUAUAAAUAGAUGGACUAAUUAUUAGAUAGGAAUAAAUUUGAUAUGUGUCGGCAAAAAUAUGUUUUUUCUAACAGCGGAUCUAAGUACCGAUGGCUGUUCUACUUCUGAUCCAGCUCCCUACUAAUUCACCUUGGAAAGCAAUGGAGAUGACCCAAGUGCUUGGACACCUGCCACUCAAGUGAGAGGCCCAAUGCAGUUCUGGACUCCUGGUUUCAGCCUGGCCCUGUACCAACCUUUUUAACCAUUUGAGAAGUGAACCAGUGGAUGGAAGAUCUCUCCCUCUCUCUGUCUCUGUCUCUGUCUUUCUCUCUCUCACACACACACACACACAAAUUGCUUUUCAAAUAAGUAAAUUAUUCUUUUUUAAUGAAAUACCAACAUUUGCACUCUUGGGUUAACAUUAGCAUUCUUAAUUGUCAAUUUUCUAAAAACAAACACUUUAGUAAAAAUGCCUUAUUUAAAAAGUCCAUUGUUUCAAGGGAUGAAGGCUAUUGCAAUAGGAAAAACACAGUGACUUCAAGUUGUGGUUUCAAGGUCCUAUAGAAAAAUCCUUCUUCAACCAGGAGAGGGAAACAGUGCUAACAGGAUGUUUGAAGGAAAUGAAGCACGAGAAUGCAGCUGAGCAGAUGGCAUGACGGUAGCAUCUUACAGGAAAUGCUUUCUCCUUUUGGUCAUGUGAUUCUUAGAACAAGACGUUAAGAAGAGAUAUUCUUUAUAUUAUCACAUGCUUAAAAGCUUAGGUAUUGUGGUACAGCAGGUUAAGCCCUUGCUUACAACACUGAUAUUCCCUCUCAGAGGGCUGGUUCAAAUCCUCGCUGCUCUGUUUCUAACCCACCUCCCAACUAAUCCACCUGGGAAAGCAGUGGAAGAUGACUCAAAUACUUGGUCCCCUGCCACCCAUGUAGGAUACUGGACAGAAGUUCCUGGCUCCUAACUUCAGCACGGCCUGGGUCUGGCAUUUGUGGCCACUUGAGGACUGAACCAGAGGCCAGAUCUCUCCUUGUCUCUCUACCUUGCAGAUAAAUAAAUAAAUACUCAAAAACACAAAAUAAAUAAACAAAAGCUUAGAUAUAAGUAAAGUUUAGGGGUUUGUGGAUAUAGAACAAAUUUGGUUACAAUUUAGUCAAUUCAAGUCAAUGUCCAAGAAAGGAGCAAUUGUGAGCACCUGGAUUUAGUGUGAGCUCAUGUUUUCAAAUAAAUAAAUGGGAAAUAAAUGCAGGUAUGUGUGUAUGUGUGCAAGCAGCUGUGAAUACUUGCUGGCAUUGUCAGUGGAGUGGGGCUAGAAACCAGGACACCCUAGAGCUAGGAACAUGAGUAGCACUCGGAUAUCACUUCCUAAAAACUAAUCUCCAAUAAGAUUAGUAUGAGGACUAUUUGGGAAACAAAUGGCUGAAAUCAUGACAGGAGAAGAAAAAAUACAUGAGAAAUCUGGAAAAUAUAUGAGGCAGUAGAUGAGAAAAUGAUAAAAAAAAAUACUGGCUUGAUACUGACAAACCAGCUUGAAGGAGCUCCCAAUAAUAAAACCUGAGAGAACCUGGACCAAAAAAUUAAUGAAUUGUAUGCAUUGGAAUGAAAUAUCCAUGCAUGAGUUCGCACCAAUAGGAGUAAAUGAAUGAAUAAAAGAACAAACAGGGUAAAGCGGAAAGCUCUUCCAAAUAGUUAAAUUCCAGCAAUGAUAAUAUGGAUAUCAUCAUUAGGCAAACUUCACAGUGCUUGUUAAUAUGGAAAAAAACCAUCCAUACAUAAGUAAUAACAUUUGAGGGUAAAAUGUGCACGAUAAGGAACAGAAAUUUUCUAUAGUCUUGUUAGCUGACCUCCUGGCAAACUUAUUAUUAUUAUUAUUAUUACCUAAAGUGUAAAAUAAUGAGUUCACUGAGAAGAAACUCAGCAGAUAUUUGCCAAUCAAAUUUGGAGAAAAUAUCCAUUGUUUCUUCUGUCGGUUUGCCAAGCCAUCUAUAAAAUAAAAUCUCAUAAAGAUCCCUCUAUCCACAGUUGUUAUUUGUUUAU
This is a non-coding RNA of Oryctolagus cuniculus (rabbit), 2902 nucleotides long. NCBI's taxonomy places the organism in Eukaryota, Metazoa, Chordata, Mammalia, Lagomorpha, Leporidae. The record is from RefSeq and is a predicted model, not a curated record.